This 74-nucleotide transfer RNA is filed under the name Gammaproteobacteria bacterium. RNAcentral describes it as "tRNA-Gly". It matches the Rfam family "tRNA". Rfam says of the family: Transfer RNA (tRNA) molecules are approximately 80 nucleotides in length. RNAcentral also lists the same sequence under 2 other names. Lineage: Bacteria; Pseudomonadati; Pseudomonadota; Gammaproteobacteria. The record is from RNAcentral.
GCGGGUGUAGUUCAAGGGUAGAACCUCAGCCUUCCAAGCUGAUGAUGUCGGUUCGAGUCCGAUCACCCGCUCCA